UGACACGUAGGCUCCAAGCGUUGUCCGGAUUUAUUGGGCGUAAAGAGCUCGUAGGCGGUUGAGUAAGUCGGGUGUGAAAACUCUGGGCUUAACCCGGAGACGCCAUCCGAUACUGCUCUGACUAGAGUUCAGGAGGGGAGUGGGGAAUUCCUAGUGUAGCGGUGAAAUGCGCAGAUAUUAGGAGGAACACCGGUGGCGGAGGCGCCACUCUGGACUGAAACUGACGCUGAGGAGCGAAAGCAUGGGUAGCAAACAGGAUUAGAUACCCUGGUAGUCCAUGCCGUAAACGGUGGGCACUAGGUGUGGGUUCCAACUAACGGGAUCCGCGCCGUCGCUAACGCAUUAAGUGCCCCGCCUGGGGAGUACGGUCGCAAGACUAAAACUCAAAGGAAUUGACGGGGGCCCGCACAAGCAGCGGAGCGUGUUGCUUAAUUCGAUGCUACGCGAAGAACCUUACCUGGGUUUGACAUGUUUGGAAAAGCCACAGAGAUGUGGUGUCCGCAAGGGCCAAACACAGGU
RNAcentral lists this ribosomal RNA (519 nucleotides) under uncultured Ilumatobacter sp. RNAcentral describes it as "bacterial SSU rRNA". It matches the Rfam family "Bacterial small subunit ribosomal RNA", at positions 521 to 1039 of the family's 1533-position model. Lineage: Bacteria; Bacillati; Actinomycetota; Acidimicrobiia; Acidimicrobiales; Ilumatobacteraceae. The record is from RNAcentral.